GUGUCAGCCGCCGCGGUAAAACGUAGGAGGCAAGCGUUAUCCGGAUUCACUGGGCGUAAAGCGCGUGCAGGCGGUGCGGUAAGUUGGGUGUGAAAUCUCCCGGCUCAACUGGGAGAGGUCAUUCAAUACUACCGUACUCGAGAGCAGAAGAGGAAGAUGGAAUUCCCGGUGUAGUGGUGAAAUGCGUAGAUAUCGGGAGGAACACCAGUGGCGAAGGCGAUCUUCUGGUCUGUUUCUGACGCUCAGACGCGACAGCUAGGGUAGUAAACGGGAUUAGAGACCCCGGUAAUCCUAGCCGUAAACGAUGUGAACUUGGCGUUGGUGGGUUAAACUCCAUCAGUGCCGUAGCAAACGCGAUAAGUUCACCGCCUGGGGACUACGGCCGCAAGGUUAAA
Molecule: ribosomal RNA, 395 nt
Filed under: uncultured bacterium
Lineage: Bacteria
Description: bacterial SSU rRNA
Rfam family: Bacterial small subunit ribosomal RNA
Source: RNAcentral